Molecule: ribosomal RNA, 253 nt
Filed under: uncultured prokaryote
Description: partial 16S ribosomal RNA
Rfam family: Bacterial small subunit ribosomal RNA
Source: RNAcentral
CACGGGGGGAGCAAGCGUUGUUCGGAAUCACUGGGCGUAAAGGGCGUGUAGGCGGUCAGGUAAGUGAGACGUGAAAUGCCCCGGCUCACCCGGGGACCUGCGUCUCAUACUGCUUGGCUUGAGUACGGGAGAGGAUGUGGGAAUUCCUGGUGUAGCGGUGAAAUGCGUAGAUAUUGGGAGGAACACCAGUGGCGAAGGCGGCUCACUGGACCGGUUCUGACGCUGAUGCGCGAAAGCGUGGGGAGCAAACGGG